GUGCCAGCCGCCGCGGUAAUACGGAGGGUGCAAGCGUUGUCCGGAAUCACUGGGCGUCAAGGGUGCGCAGGCGGGGCAGCAAGUCGGAGGUGAAAUCCCACGGCUCAACCGUGGAAGUGCCUUCGAAACUGCUGCUCUUGAGUCCCGGAGAGGCUGCCGGAAUUCGUGGUGUAGCGGUGAAAUGCGUAGAUAUCACGAGGAACACCAGAGGCGAAAGCGGGCAGCUGGACGGGUACUGACGCUCAGGCACGAAAGCGUGGGGAGCAAACAGGAUUAGAAACCCUAGUAGUCC
RNAcentral lists this ribosomal RNA (292 nucleotides) under uncultured bacterium. RNAcentral describes it as "partial 16S ribosomal RNA". It matches the Rfam family "Bacterial small subunit ribosomal RNA", at positions 505 to 796 of the family's 1533-position model. The record is from RNAcentral.